GGAUGUGAGGUCAAUCUGACUGUGACAUCUGUCACCCCAUUGAUCGCCAGGGUUGAUUCAACUGAUUUGGCUGGCACCGCUCCAUGUGCGUCCCUCCUGAAGCAGCCUGCUCAGUCAAAGAGGAUGACCUUCCCCGAAUACAGGAGGACUGGUGUUCGGUCAAGGGUAUAUGACUAGCUGUGCUCCCCUGUGAGAACCUCAAAACAAGCUCUCAAGGUCCAAAGAGCAGUGGGGACUACUCUCUAAUGUCUAAGUUUCCUGACUAUGGGAUUAUGACAUGGUUUCCAGUAC
This 291-nucleotide small nuclear RNA is filed under the name Jaculus jaculus (lesser Egyptian jerboa). RNAcentral's name for it is "7SK RNA (ENSJJAG00000001913.1)". The stretch from base 1 to 260 matches the Rfam family "7SK RNA". From Rfam's summary of the family: 7SK was discovered as an abundant small nuclear RNA in the mid-70s but a possible function has only recently been suggested. Two independent studies have found that 7SK RNA binds the CDK9/cyclin T complex (known as elongation factor P-TEFb). Lineage: Eukaryota; Metazoa; Chordata; Mammalia; Rodentia; Dipodidae. The record is from Rfam by way of RNAcentral.